This 3136-nucleotide long non-coding RNA is filed under the name Xyrichtys novacula (pearly razorfish). The record is from RNAcentral. Lineage: Eukaryota; Metazoa; Chordata; Actinopteri; Labriformes; Labridae.
GCAGAACCCAGUAAGUGGAUGCACAGUUGGAAAGUUGGAUCUUCGCUUGGAUCUCUGCCAUUAUCUGGAAACAAGGUAACCUCAACUGAGAAGUUUGCAGGUGUAAGUUUCGAAAACUUAAGCAGUUUAAAGUUAACAGACUUUAAGAGUUUGAUAUUAACUCACAAUGUCAUGUAAUAAUGAAUCACCUGUAUGGUUAAACCUUCGUUGGAGCGUGCGCAGUGCAAAGUUAACCUCUGCCUGAGUCUCAGUUGGUAUUUUAAAGUUUCUUCAGUAACUCUCUGAAAGUUCUUUGACUCUAAAUGAUGUAAAAUACAGACGAGGUCCAAUUUCCUGAUCCAUUCUGUCCACGAUAUUCAAAUUAUUAAAAUUAAUUUAUAAUUUAGGGUCCCACCAACCAAACGAUUAAAGGUGAUUUGUUAUUAUUAGCUCACAAUGCUUGAAAAAAAAAAUAUACUGUAUAUAUAUACCAGAGAUAAUAUAUUUAAUGUUUUUUGCGUGUCUGGUCGCCGUAAAGAUAGUGAUGUAACAGCUGUUUCAGGUUUGAAAAACAGUAUUUUUUGCUUUGAAAGGUCUUACUUUGUCAGGAUCCUCUGUGUGAUUUUCAAAGUCUCUAAAAAUGACAGUCUUAUCCUGUAGAUGGCAAAAUUUAGGACUUUAAGUGGACUUAAUUGGAUCGCCUGUGAAUGCCCCAAAAGAUUAUUUUCAGCUCUUAUUGUUUAUUCCAGUUCUCCUCUGAGAUAAUCUGCUGAACCAACUCUGAAGUGGUUUAUAGUUAUGAGGUAUUCAUACACCGGUUUAUAUUAAAACAAAACAAGGAAUCAUCCAGUCUGACUCUGCUGUAUUUUAGACAGUGAUUAAAAACUGAGCAACAACACAGUUUGGCUCUUAAACCAACCUGACUGUGGUGCAGUAGUUAAAGGUCAAGCACAAACUUUGAAACACCUCGACUCCUACACAAAUCCAAUCAGCGCUGACCUUUCUACUCACAACCAGAGAGCCUCAUUAAUCACUCUGAUCAGCCGGAAACUGAUGAUCCCAGGAUGAAACUCUGUCAUGAUCUCAGACGCAAAAAGUCUGAGUUUUAAUUAAAAGAAAUCAUUUACUCAUCCCUUAGCGAACUAGCCACGUGUCUGCUUUUAACCUAAACAUUUUACAACGUAUCACACCUGACUGUGUUCGAUCUGAUCGGUCCAAACUUUGAAACUGUUUUUUUGUUUCUCAGGAAGGACAUCCUAAUCCCACAUGCAAAUGAAAAUGGAGUCUUUCACAUUUCACCUUUUCCACCUGUUGACAAUGUGGCAAAAAUGUUGGUUUCUGUGACCAUUCUGAGGCAUGAGCAGAGCAGGAAAUUUAAUGAUCAUAAAUCAUCAGACCCAUCUUUGACAAUAUUAAAGGGAUAUUCCGGCAUAAAAUAAGUUAGGGUCAAACACAUCGUAACACGUGUUAGACACCCUAACUUUAGGAACGACCGCACGAUAGCAAUACACAGCGGUCUGAGGAGCCAUAAACAAACCUCAACCAAAACACCACUCUAUAGCCACAAAUAAUGCUCAGAACAGCACCUAACUUCAUCAACAGGACAUAUAGGGUUCCAGCCAUAGUACUAGCCACUAAACAUUUUUUUAACUUUGCCUGAUUUCUUUAGCAAAGAGAUGAAUUACAACUCACUUACCCUCUUCCUGCAGCCACUUGUUUGUAGCGAGACCUCAGGCCAGAUCAUUACAAACUGCUGCGGGGUGACGCAGCUCAAGGAAGAACAUUUAUGAUCAUUUCUUCAUGGAAAUGCAAUCAGACCGAGACGCUAAGGCAGAAGAACUACCGCGUCUGCAGAGCAAAAUGAUUGAUAUGGUGAUUAUUACUUCAAGGAAAUGAUAAAGAAAUUAUCAUAAAUGUUCUUCCUUGAGCUGCGUCACCCCCGGUUUGGACUCACCCAAGGUCUCUGUACAAACAAGUGGCUGCUAGAAGAGAGUAGGUGAGUUGUGUUUAGUCUCUUAGUCAAAGUUAAAAAGAUGUUUGGUGUCUAGUACUAUGUCUGGGACCCUAUAUGUCCUGUUGAUGAAGUUAGGUGCUAUUCUGAGCAUCAUUUGUGGUUAUAGAGUGGCGUUUUGGUUGAGUGCAUGGCUCCCGGUAUUGCUAUCUGCGGUCGUUACUAAAGUUGGUAUAACUAGAGAAGCAAGCAGUCGGCAUUCAUCUUUCGACGGGGUGUCUAACUCGGUGUUGCUGUGUGUUUGACCCGAAAUUAAUUUUACACUGGAAUAUCCCUUUAAUAGCCAAUCAGAGUUUAGGAUUUCAGGGUGGCUAUUUAGAUUUUAUUGGGGGCAGUGCCACCCCUGAACACCCCUCUGGACAUGCCCCUGGUCACAACAGCAGAACACAGUGAGAGGGAUAUUAAACGAUAUGAGGCGCUGAAAGAAAAAGCCGUCUACCAAACUGAAGAAAACAGACAUAAAGCAAUCAUAAAAUAGGACAUAGUUUGGGCAUCAGUGGUGAUUCCUUUUGCUGCUCAUCUUUACUUCCCACCUUCCCUGUUUCUCUUCAGCUGUACAGUCCUGUGUGUUUUGUUUUAAACUUGCUUAUUUCCUAAGUUGGUGAGGAGGUGGUUGGAUAAGCAGGUCCGGAUGUAAAGCUGUACAUCCCCCCUCACAUGCUUGAGAAAAAGCACAGCGGCUAAAAUCAAGUAUCAGACUGUAAAAAUGUUCAGCAAAUCCACUGUGACUGAAAUGAAUAAAUUAGCAUGAUAACAGCGAGGGGGUUUUUGGCGCCGUGGUGAUUUUUCUCUUGAGGAAGUUGACGUCCACAUAGAAGCAGCAUUUCAGGAUGCAAAUGUAUUCAGAAUAAGAUCCAAGUUGCAUUCUUCCUCUAUUUGAUGAUGGAUUAUUCAAGUCAUGGUCUACAAAUCCUUUACUGAUCAGUGAAAAUUGUUGGGAGAUUAUUCCUCCUCAGAGUUAAUUCUGCUAAAGCCUCUUCUUUCACAGAGUUUACAGAUCCAGAGAUGCUCAUCAGAUGAGGCUGCAAACAGAGCGGCGUGUCUGCGAACUGUUCUGGUUCAAGUCCAGGCUUUGGCAGGAGGAAGAAGACUGACUUCAAACACCUGUCCUCCGAAUUUGGUGCAUCAGACUUCCUUAAACUCGUC